UACGUAGGGGGCGAGCGUUGUCCGGAUUUACUGGGCGUAAAGAGCGCGCAGGCGGUCGUUCAAGUCGAGCGUGAAAGCCCCCGGCUCAACUGGGGAGGGUCACGCGAUACUGCUCGACUCGAAGGCAGGAGAGGGAAGUGGAAUUCCCGGUGUAGUGGUGAAAUGCGUAGAUAUCGGGAGGAACACCAGUGGCGAAGGCGACUUCCUGGCCUGUUCUUGACGCUGAGGCGCGAAAGCUAGGGUAGCAAACGGG
Molecule: ribosomal RNA, 253 nt
Filed under: uncultured bacterium
Lineage: Bacteria
Description: partial 16S ribosomal RNA
Rfam family: Bacterial small subunit ribosomal RNA
Source: RNAcentral